CUCUAGUGAGUUCAGUGGCUAGAAUUCUUGGUUUUCACCCAGGCUGCCCAGGUUCAAUUCCUGAGCAGAGA
Molecule: transfer RNA, 71 nt
Filed under: Sus scrofa (pig)
Lineage: Eukaryota; Metazoa; Chordata; Mammalia; Artiodactyla; Suidae
Rfam family: tRNA
About the family: Transfer RNA (tRNA) molecules are approximately 80 nucleotides in length.
Source: Rfam by way of RNAcentral